RNAcentral lists this unclassified non-coding RNA (244 nucleotides) under Hevea brasiliensis (rubber tree). Lineage: Eukaryota; Viridiplantae; Streptophyta; Magnoliopsida; Malpighiales; Euphorbiaceae. The record is from RNAcentral.
AGAUGCCUCUUGUUUUACUUGGGUUUGCGGGAUUGGUGUUCAUGUAAAUAUCUCUAUAUAUGUGAUAUACUGGACUAUUAUUGGAGAAAAAUCCUUAGAUGUAGCAAAAAUCUUUAGAAGAACUGUACUAAAGGCUUUCAUACUAUAGCUAGAAAAUGGGAUCUUUUUCCUCCAUUUUCUUUGCUGUUCUGUACGAUAAGCAAUGUAUUUCAGGCUCUCUUUUUUUUUUAGAACAGAAAUAAAG